GAUGAACGCUGGCGGCGUGCCUAAUACAUGCAAGUCGAGCGAACGGACGAGAAGCUUGCUUCUCUGAUGUUAGCGGCGGACGGGUGAGUAACACGUGGAUAACCUACCUAUAAGACUGGGAUAACUUCGGGAAACCGUAGCUAAUACCGGAUAAUAUUUUGAACCGCAUGGUUCAAAAGUGAAAGACGGUCUUGCUGUCACUUAUAGAUGGAUCCGCGCUGCAUUAGCUAGUUGGUAAGGUAACGGCUUACCAAGGCAACGAUGCAUAGCCGACCUGAGAGGGUGAUCGGCCACACUGGUACUGAGACACGGUCCAGACUCCUACGGGAGGCAGCAGUAGGGAAUCUGCCGCAAUGGGCGAAAGCCUGACGGAGCAACGCCGCGUGAGUGAUGAAGGUCUUCGGAUCGUAAAACUCUGUUAUUAGGGAAGAACAUAUGUGUAAGUAACUGUGCACAUCUUGACGGUACCUAAUCAGAAAGCCACGGCUAACUACGUG
RNAcentral lists this ribosomal RNA (497 nucleotides) under uncultured bacterium. RNAcentral describes it as "partial 16S ribosomal RNA". It matches the Rfam family "Bacterial small subunit ribosomal RNA", at positions 28 to 507 of the family's 1533-position model. The record is from RNAcentral.